This is a long non-coding RNA of Brachypodium distachyon (stiff brome), 606 nucleotides long. RefSeq lists it as uncharacterized. The transcript is spliced from 3 exons. The record is from RefSeq and is a predicted model, not a curated record. NCBI's taxonomy places the organism in Eukaryota, Viridiplantae, Streptophyta, Magnoliopsida, Poales, Poaceae.
UUCCCACCAAGGGAGAAACUAAACCGCCGGCGGUUCUCAACAAAAGAAAAAAAAAACUAAACCACCGGCGGCGCGAGGCGUUGGCGACAGGCGGCUGGAGAGGGAUUCACGGCGCAAGGCGGCAGCGACUGGUGACGUCAGCUCAGCUGCAACCUCACCGGCUCCCUCCUCUGCCUCGCCGCGACCACCCCACCCGUCUCCCUCCUCUACUUCGCCGCGAGAUCCAGAGGGAGCAAGCUCAGCCAGGAAGAUGAACCAGCCACCGGAACAGAGGAGGAGAAGCAGGGGCAGGAGAGAUUACGAGAUCACCAACCCAAUACUGGAUUGUGCAUCUUCCAGCAACCUAGAAGGUGGUGAGAAGUUUUCUACAAUAAAGGAGGUGGUGAGGUGACAGACCACCGUCACCAAUUGCGUCUUCUAUAGGAGCAAAGAGAUAGUCCGAUGUAUGAGUUACCAUUCUUCUUACAAUUUUAUUUCUUGUGGACAACUUUUUUUUGCAAAUAUGAGUUGAGAUCUGUGCUCGUUAUCAGUUUAUAAAAUGUAUAUCAUAACUGUUUCUGCUCCUGGUCCUGGAUGAAUGCAUGUGAAAGUAUGCAAGUCUGUAUA